Molecule: ribosomal RNA, 254 nt
Filed under: uncultured bacterium
Lineage: Bacteria
Description: partial 16S ribosomal RNA
Rfam family: Bacterial small subunit ribosomal RNA
Source: RNAcentral
UACGUAGGGGGCAAGCGUUGUCCGGAUUUAUUGGGCGUAAAGAGCGUGUAGGCGGCCAGAUAGGUCUGUUGUGAAAACUCGAGGCUCAACCUCGAGACGCCGAUGGAAACCAUUUGGCUAGAGUCCGGAAGAGGAGAGUGGAAUUCCUGGUGUAGCGGUGAAAUGCGCAGAUAUCAGGAAGAACACCCGUGGCUAAGGCGGCUCUCUAGUACGGUACUGACGCUGAGACGCGAAAAGCGUGGGGAGCGAACAGG